CCUGGCGGCACUAGCGCGGUGGUCCCACCUGACCCCAUGCCGAACUCAGAAUUUAAUCUUCAUCGUUUCUAUGGUAGUGUGGGGUCUCCCCAUGUGAGAGUAGGGAACUGCCAGGC
RNAcentral lists this ribosomal RNA (116 nucleotides) under Klebsiella pneumoniae. The record is from RNAcentral. Lineage: Bacteria; Pseudomonadati; Pseudomonadota; Gammaproteobacteria; Enterobacterales; Enterobacteriaceae.